Molecule: ribosomal RNA, 255 nt
Filed under: uncultured bacterium
Lineage: Bacteria
Description: partial small subunit ribosomal RNA
Rfam family: Bacterial small subunit ribosomal RNA
Source: RNAcentral
AGAGCGAACGCUGGCGGCAGGCUUAACACAUGCAAGUCGAGCGGAAAGGCCCUUCGGGGUACUCGAGCGGCGAACGGGUGAGUAACACGUGAGCAACCUGCCCCUGGCUCUGGGAUAGCCUCCGGAAACGGGGAUUAAUACCGGACAUGACCCUUGACCGCAUGGUUGGGGGUGGAAAGUUUUUCGGCCAGGGUGGGGCUCGCGGCCUAUCAGCUUGUUGGGGGGGUGACGGCCCACCAAGGCGACGACGGGUAG